RNA transcript from Danio aesculapii, 3256 nucleotides. It is a transcript of the gene named protein kinase, AMP-activated, gamma 2 non-catalytic subunit a, with no coding region annotated. The transcript is spliced from 16 exons. The record is from RefSeq and is a predicted model, not a curated record. Lineage: Eukaryota; Metazoa; Chordata; Actinopteri; Cypriniformes; Danionidae.
GAGCAUCUCAUUCCCUUCAUCUCUGCUGAUCCGCGCAUGCAAGUUUGUUUUCUCCGAGGGCGCACGUGUUUUUUUUUUCUUCAUGAGACCGAAGGAAAUGCCUGAGGAAUCUAGAAAUAUACUAUUAAUUUAAGUAACCGAUUAUUUUUCUGUUGCUCUCAUAUACUGGAGCGAUGGGUUUUAUUCUGGUUUCCAGCGUUAAAUAAGCCUCUGCCAAAGAACAAAACCAUUAUUUUGGGAAAUGGGCAGCACUGCAAUGGAUUCUAAGAAGAAAGAUGAGAAGAAAAAUACAAGAAAAAGGAUAUCGCUUCGGAUAAACAUGCCUGACUUGAGCUCCUUCGCCAUGCCGUUCCUGGAAGGAGAUGCAGAACAUGCCAGUAAGGACGGCGUACGCAAGGGGGAUCUUAGCUGUCGAUCAGCCAGCCCGACCAAAACCUUCUUCAGCAGGGGUCCAUUUAGUCGCCCCUCCAGCCCCAUGUCUGCUCCAGCCCGGACUAGAAUCAGCCCAGGAUCUCCCAAACCCAUCUUCUCCAACCACGAGUCCUCCCCCAAGUGUUCACGGCGCCGCAGCUUCACUGGGAUCUUCCGCUCAUCCUCCAAAGACUCCACUAAUCCCUCCACAUCUCCAGUCAGCAUCAAACUCUUCUCCAGGACCAAGAAAGCAUCUGGGAUCUCCUCAUCUCCCACCACUCCAACACAACUGACCAAGCAGACUUCAGCGUUUCUUGUGGAAGUCAGUCGAAAUGACACAGUGCACCGCUCCUCAUCCUCUCCUCUCGACACGGGACAGCCCCACAGUCCACCCAUUACAAAACCACCACCCUGUCCCUCCUCGGCACCCAUAUCUACCUCACGCAUGGUUCACGGUUUAUCUGAAGAUAUGCUGGAGAAACUCGAUAUCGAGGAUGAAGCUGUUGAACAUUCUGAGAGCGACAUUUACAUGCGGUUUAUGAAGUCACAUAAGUGCUAUGACAUCGUCCCUACCAGCUCCAAACUUGUGGUCUUCGACACAACGCUGCAGGUUAAAAAGGCCUUUUUUGCAUUGGUGGCCAAUGGAGUCCGAGCUGCCCCCCUGUGGGAGACCAAGAAACAGAGUUUUGUGGGCAUGUUAACCAUCACAGACUUCAUCAACAUCCUUCACAGAUACUACAAAUCACCCAUGGUACAAAUCUAUGAGCUUGAAGAGCAUAAAAUUGAGACAUGGAGAGAGCUCUAUCUACAAGAAACAUUUAAGCCUUUAGUGAACAUAUCUCCAGAUGCAAGCAUAUUUGAUGCUGUGUAUUCACUGAUCAAAAACAAGAUCCACCGGCUGCCCGUCAUCGACCCCGUCAGUGGAAAUGCACUUUACAUUUUGACGCACAAAAGGAUCCUGAAAUUCCUUCAGCUGUUUGUUUGUGAGAUGCCAAAGCCCGCCUUUAUGAAGCAGACACUGGAGGAGCUGAGCAUCGGGACCUACAACAACAUCGCCUUCAUUCACCCCGACACGCCAAUCAUCAAAGCACUCAGCAUCUUUGUGGACAGAAGAGUGUCUGCACUGCCUGUGGUGGAUGAGUCAGGAAAAGUUGUAGAUAUUUAUUCCAAAUUUGAUGUCAUUAAUCUAGCUGCUGAAAAGACGUACAACAACCUGGACAUUAGCGUGACGCAGGCGCUGAUGCACAGGUCACAGUACUUUGAAGGGGUCAUGAAGUGCAACAGAUUAGAGACACUGGAAACAAUAGUCGAUCGAAUAGUCAAGGCUGAGGUGCACAGGCUGGUGGUGGUGGAUGAGAACGGCAGCAUCGUGGGCAUCGUCUCUCUGUCAGACAUCCUCCAGGCACUCGUUCUCAACCCCGCAGGUAUAAAUGCUCAGCAUUCCUAAAGCUCAUUUCCAGCAGGACCCUUCUCCUCCCAACCUCUCUCACCCACAACACAGGUAUGUUAGGUAAGGACAGUGAAGUGGAGGCUGAGUGAAAGACGCUGAAAAUCCGCGUGACGGUGCUGUCAGAGAUGACGACGACGACGAUGAUGAUCACAAGUUUGGCCCACAUCUCCGAAUGAAACCAGAAAACUUGUCCUAGACGUGUGCAGUUGGAAGGAGAAAAAAAGAAGGGUUAAUGGGUAAACAGACGGGUUGUUUUAUCAUAAACGGGCGAUUUUAAGUGGAUCAUCUCUUAUUCAGAAGGAAACUGUGAACUCUAUUAUAUCACACUACGCUUCUGCACGCACACUACGAUUACUAUACUUUUAGCUAGACCUAAAAUUGCGCCAUCUGGUGUCUGAGCAGUGCUUGCACACAGACUACGGGCCGUACCAUAAUCGCCUCUUUCGAGGGGGUGUCUGUGCGUCUGCAGGGCAUUCAGUAAUAAUCUCAGUAUUCAGUGCAUGUUAUGACUGUUUGUUCCUCGUGUAUAUACGGUUUUCAGCUUGUGGCGUAUGAGCCCGGAUCACAUAUUUGUACUUUUGACUACUCCUCCUGAAUUUAGGAUCUCGUUUUGUCUCUCCUUGGCGAUCCCUUUGUAAACGCAGAAAUGGUUUCCUCCUCUUUAUCUGUCUAUGGUGCCUUCUGUCCAGCAGUUAUCGCUCACUACUGGUUGCCAAUAGAUCAAGAUUAACUGAAUGUUGAUAUCAAAGCGAAUGUUGCAGUUGUUUUAAAAAGAAAAAGAAGAAAUAACAACCAAAACCCCCCCUUUUUUGCCGUUUUAGUGUGUCUCACGACUUUUAUUUAUUGCAGAGCUCUACACUUCUUCACUUCGGGUGUUCAUCUUGAUGUUUUUGUUUGAAAUGAUGCUGUAAAUGAUAAUUGAAAUGUAUAUUUAUUUAUAUUUAACACUUUUGUAAUUUUGGAAGCGAUAACAAAGUGUGAGAUGGAAAGAGUUGUUAAGCCCCUAUGCAGUAAAACCAUGUGCUGAUCAAUGACUUGAUGUUCAAUGCAAUUCAACCUUAAAAAUCCCACAUUUGUUUUAAGUUUGCGUUCAGGCCAUGAGGUGACUGGCCUCUUGUUUGUAUCGAUUGUACUGUACACAUACACACGCAGAGGUUCUGUCUGAGGACUCUACAAGUGCCAGAGAAAGGUCUAUUUUUCUGUGUGUUCAACGUUGUUUGUAAAGCAUUUCCUUUUAAGUUGUUUUUUGCAGAAGUGUCACUGCUGUUGUCAUGAGAGAGUAAUGUCCAGAGAUACUGUAAUUGCACAUCACUGGCAUGAGGAUGCUGAUGGAUAAUCAUGCUUUAGAUUUCUUUUUAAUUUUACGGUUAAAUAAAAUAAAAAGAAUAAACAAAG